Caenorhabditis elegans is the source of this 21-nucleotide non-coding RNA. Lineage: Eukaryota; Metazoa; Nematoda; Chromadorea; Rhabditida; Rhabditidae. The record is from Ensembl.
UGCUUGAAUUUCUAGUGGCGC